RNAcentral lists this ribosomal RNA (465 nucleotides) under Vreelandella stevensii. Its description in RNAcentral is "partial 16S ribosomal RNA". It matches the Rfam family "Bacterial small subunit ribosomal RNA", at positions 338 to 795 of the family's 1533-position model. Lineage: Bacteria; Pseudomonadati; Pseudomonadota; Gammaproteobacteria; Oceanospirillales; Halomonadaceae. The record is from RNAcentral.
CCUACGGGAGGCAGCAGUGGGGAAUAUUGGACAAUGGGGGUAACCCUGAUCCAGCCAUGCCGCGUGUGUGAAGAAGGCCCUCGGGUUGUAAAGCACUUUCAGUGAGGAAGAACGCCUGGUGGUUAAUACCCAUCAGGAAAGACAUCACUCACAGAAGAAGCACCGGCUAACUCCGUGCCAGCAGCCGCGGUAAUACGGAGGGUGCGAGCGUUAAUCGGAAUUACUGGGCGUAAAGCGCGCGUAGGUGGCUUGAUAAGCCGGUUGUGAAAGCCCCGGGCUCAACCUGGGAACGGCAUCCGGAACUGUCAAGCUAGAGUGCAGGAGAGGAAGGUAGAAUUCCCGGUGUAGCGGUGAAAUGCGUAGAGAUCGGGAGGAAUACCAGUGGCGAAGGCGGCCUUCUGGACUGACACUGACACUGAGGUGCGAAAGCGUGGGUAGCAAACAGGAUUAGAUACCCGGGUAGUC